GUUCCGUCCGGGUUUGUAAUUCCGAUCCCAGUUCCCGUAAAUCUGUCUACGAUUUUGUUAGGUGACGGAGUUCGUUUUCGCAGCACACCACCCACCCCAUUUUCCCUGAGCCUAGCCGGCAAACUUUUAGUAGACAGAGAGUGCUGACGAGACGACACUUCCCGUGUCCGUUACAUAAUAAAUGGCGCCCAACGUGGGGCCCGAAUGGUCCGUUUUCCCCAAUAACCUUCCCCAAUCCCUUCCUCAACCCAAUAUUGAUCCAAAUUUUAAAGUAGUUCAGUUUUUUUGUUAUAUAUCCAGCUCGGAACCGCUGGGAAUCUGAUCAUUGUCGGACCCAGACCAGUGGAUAUAUUGCAUAGAAGAAGAUCACAUUAGACUUCAUUAUGUUGCAUUCGAAGGAGAGCGAUAUGCAAAAUACUAGAUUUGGUAGUAUUUUUUUGGAGGUUGAUAGGUCGAUAGGCGAAGGGGCAAGGCGAUCAACGGUGCCGGUGAGAGAGCGGGAGAAUGUAAAGGAGGGGAAUAUUGCGGGAUCCACGAGCCAGCUCACCCACACCCUCAAGAAUGCCAUGCUAUGCCCUUGAAUUUGGUUCAAGGGCAGUAGAAGAGAUGAGAUCAACUGCAGCAAGGGGGACUGCGUAGAGUAGCUACGCUGAACAUGCCGGCAGUGGAAAAAUAGACAUCGGCAGUGUUAGUGAGUUUUGUGUGUGUGACCGUUUAGGAAAAAGAAAGACCGGCCAACGUAGAGGACCCUUUUACCCGAAUCGAAAUAAAAAGUGAGUCCAGUCCAAAGGGAAAAUGAAUCCCAGAUUCAAUAUUUUUAAAAUCCAUAGGGCAUAAAUUGUAUCGGCUGGCUUCUCGUAGAUGGGCCAAAAUUACCAUUCCCCGGCCCGCGGAAUCCUGGUCACACCCCUGCUCGGGCGCGACCCGCCACAGCCCACCGACAAUUAAUAUAAUUAAUCUAUGCAUACAUAAACGCAUACCUAUUUACAUGCGUAUAUAAAAACACAAAAAAAUAAUAUCUGUCUAUAUUAAUUAAGAUUUAAUUAAUUUGCCACCCCAUAUAUAUUUACCGACCAUAUUAAUGUAAUAUAAAUGUAGUAUUUGUAUUUAUAUUUAUUUUAUUAUUUAUAUUUAUUAAUUUUUUUGAUUAUUCCCACCCAUUAAUUUAAGUUGAAGAGUCGGGAAUAGGCGGACGCGCCACGAGACAUUAGUAUAGGGAUUUUUAGUUAAGUAUGUGUUAAGUUUUUGGUUUAAAUAUUAUAACGUUUAAAAUGAAGUGCUAGCGUGUUUAGUAUGGGGGGGAAAGGGGACCACAGCGGCGAAAUGGAGAAAGUCCGCCACACUUGGGAAGGAGAGCUGAGGUAUUCUGAGUCGCAUCUCAGGUAGAGUACGUAGGAGCUAGACCAUCGGCACCUCAGACUUGUCCACGUCUGGGGUGGAGAGAUGUUUGUCCG
Molecule: long non-coding RNA, 1454 nt
Filed under: Drosophila guanche
Lineage: Eukaryota; Metazoa; Arthropoda; Insecta; Diptera; Drosophilidae
Source: RNAcentral